Astatotilapia calliptera (eastern happy) is the source of this 2666-nucleotide long non-coding RNA. The record is from Ensembl. Lineage: Eukaryota; Metazoa; Chordata; Actinopteri; Cichliformes; Cichlidae.
CUGUAAUCCUCCACAUCAAAGGUCUCCAUAGAUCCUCAAAGCAUUCAUGGUGUAACUGUGAAUCACUGCGUGAGGUGACGUGCAGUAUUUCAGUAGGAAUAGGGACGCGUCCCCCAUUUGGCUUGCUUGAUAACCCACCCGGUAGACAUCACACCGUGAAACCUGACAGUCUCAUGUAACCUGUUACACAUGUUACACCAAUCAGAAGUGAUUUUUCUGGACUGUUGCAUCAGUUGUUUACUGCCGAUUUUCCGUCAGGCACCAUUAGUUUGUUGCAUCAUUGCCAAUCGCUGUGAAUGGAUGACGACUUGCCGCAACAUCUGCUCCUCCCUUAAUCUUUGUUUUAACCUGUUUUUUUUUUUUUCCCUUUAGCUGUUUGUUUCAAACCGCUUCAACUACCUUUCACCCAUUUGAGAAAUUACUUGCGUUAGUUUUGUCAGUGUUAAUUUUAAAGGUGGUGCACGCGGGCCCAAAAAGACAUCGUGGCAUCCAGAGGGAAAGCCUCAGCCUCCACGCCCUCAUCUCCACGCUGUGAUUGGAUGAUCCCCGAAGUGUUGGCUCAUGUUCCUUCAUAUGUUUCUUAAUCAUUUAGAGGUAAACAGGAGACACAUGAAUGAUUCGUGGAGAUUUUGGGCACCAGCCGCUUCAGGAAGACAUUAAUCAGAUCUUUGCACAUCUUCUCAAUACUUCCCUUUCUGAUCUAGUUGAGAGGUCAUGGAGGUUUUCUACAUCAAUUCGUCUCUGCUCUUCAUCUCUCACAGACCGCUCAACUCCACUGCGGUUGAGAAGACAGUGUAUGAGUCCUGCAGAAACAUGCCUGCCGUACUUAUCUGGUAUCUGAGCCUGCAGUUCACUAACAUGUUCCUAGGCAUCCCAGCCAACGUCACGGUGCUGUGGCUCAUCCACAAGAACAAACGCGACUCUUCCACCUCUGACAUCUUCAUCCUUCAUCUGGCAGUUCUGGACGUCCUCUUCUGUCUCAUCCCUCCCCUGGAGCUCGUAAACCUCGUCUUCCUCACCACGACUACCAGCACCUGGUACGUCCUGCGCUUCUUCUACGGCAUCAAAGACUCCUCGCCCCUCUUCCUUUCUUGCAUCUGCCUGGACCGCUACAUGGCCGUGGUCCACCCCAUCAUCUUCACUAAGCUCAAAGACCGUCUGCACAGGGCAGUCCUGGCCAUUGUGGUCUGGCUGAUCAUUCUGGUCUACGCAGCUGCCAAAUGCGCAGGAAACAUCGUUAACUUCGACAAGGUUUUCACGGUGAUGAUCCUCGGAGCGUUCGCCUUCAUGGUGUACUGCAACGUAGCGAUCCUCUGGGUGCUGAGGCAGUCGCGGCCUGGCGGAGAUGCCAUGCAUCCCGUGAAGAAGAAAGCCUUCAAGAUGGUCCUCAUUAUCCUGGCCAUCAUAGUGUUCAACUACUUCCCACCUGUCGCACUCUUCCCGUUCAAAGAGUACUUUUCCCCCGAUGUGUUUCGCUGCUAUAUUCACUACAUCGCCUUCGGCUUGAUGGACUUCAGCAGCACCAUUCAGCCUGUGCUGUAUCUGUCCAAGGAGGGGCUGCCAUGGAGCAUCACCUGCAGCCAGAGGAGCAACACUUAAAUCCAGCGGGGCUACAUGUAUGUUGGAUGUAUUCGAACAAAUGUACUGCUCCUGCUUGAUUGCAUGUUGAAAAUUAUGAUUAAUGAAACAUUUACCAAUGAGGUAAAUAGAUCUAAGCGCCCUACAAGACCCCAGAAUUUUGAAGUUCUUGGUUUAAUUAACAAGAAAGGUCAGACCUACAGAUAGCUCUGAAAUAAUACAUCUUUAAGGGGUGUGGGAAGUUAUAAAAAUCAUUGUUAUUUUACUAGAUUUCAUAGGAUAAUUAAUAAAGGAAUGAGUAUCUUAGAGGUUAGUUAGUGACACCCUCAAACAGCAGUUACAGUGGGUGCUGUCAGUAGGUGUGCUGUGACACUUUAUGUGAUUUCACUCUGCCACUGUAACAUUUUCUUUAAUUCAAUUUUUUAAAAGAAAACCAUGCACACCUAUUUCUUUAUAUAUCUGAUUAAAUAAACAUGCAUGCCCUUUUCGUCCUCGCGUGUAGCCAUGUCCUCAGUUUGAGUCGCAAACUACAAGGAAUCUAAUGCACAUGAGCGCAGACAACAGAGACUAAUUGCAUUUAAGGCAACGAGGAACACCAGCGAUAAAAUAUCAUGUUUGGAAAUCAGGCAAAAACAAUGGUGGACAGAUAUGAGUACACGUUGGUGAGAUGAUGUCGCCGCUUCCUUUUGGCAAUAUUUUACAUAUUCAAACCUCAGAUACCUGCAGUCUGACCGCGAUGAGGCAACAGGUCAUAAAUCCCUUUCAUAAAGAUGAUAAAUUUUCACAUGCAGCCUCCCUUAAAAUUCACGGUGCCAUGAUCUUCCCUUUAAAUUCACACAAAUACUUGAUACUGGUAGCAGCAGUGGAACAUUUGAUGGUGUUGUGGAAAAUCUAACAAUAACCUGCAACACACCCAGUGAGCUUGAUUUGAAGUGGGUUUAGUAAACGCACUGCAAUGUGGAGAGAGCAUCCCAGUGAAACACUAGGUCCAUCUGAAUUGUGGCCACCGCCCUAACAUCUUAUAUACAGAGACACAGACAAAGAACAUUCCACAAACUCUUACAUGUUGGCCCUCUCACGGGGGGGGG